Molecule: small nucleolar RNA, 138 nt
Organism: Tachyglossus aculeatus (Australian echidna)
Lineage: Eukaryota; Metazoa; Chordata; Mammalia; Monotremata; Tachyglossidae
Source: RefSeq, a predicted model, not a curated record
CCCAUCUCAGGAUCACACCUGGAGAGUUUCUGGUACUCUACCAGUCCUAGUUGCAGAAGGGAGAGUCAAGCAGAUGCAUAGCCAUUCCAUUCCUAGCUUGGGCAGUGGCUUGCAAGUGGAAGGCAAUCUGCUACAAGU